This 745-nucleotide ribosomal RNA is filed under the name Staphylococcus epidermidis. Its description in RNAcentral is "bacterial SSU rRNA". It matches the Rfam family "Bacterial small subunit ribosomal RNA", at positions 69 to 798 of the family's 1533-position model. The record is from RNAcentral. Lineage: Bacteria; Bacillati; Bacillota; Bacilli; Caryophanales; Staphylococcaceae.
AGACGAGGAAGCUUGCUCCUCUGACGUUAGCGGCGGACGGGUGAGUAACACGUGGAUAACCUACCUAUAAGACUGGGAUAACUUCGGGAAACCGGAGCUAAUACCGGAUAAUAUAUUGAACCGCAUGGUUCAAUAGUGAAAGACGGUUUUGCUGUCACUUAUAGAUGGAUCCGCGCCGCAUUAGCUAGUUGGUAAGGUAACGGCUUACCAAGGCAACGAUGCGUAGCCGACCUGAGAGGGUGAUCGGCCACACUGGAACUGAGACACGGUCCAGACUCCUACGGGAGGCAGCAGUAGGGAAUCUUCCGCAAUGGGCGAAAGCCUGACGGAGCAACGCCGCGUGAGUGAUGAAGGUCUUCGGAUCGUAAAACUCUGUUAUUAGGGAAGAACAAAUGUGUAAGUAACUAUGCACGUCUUGACGGUACCUAAUCAGAAAGCCACGGCUAACUACGUGCCAGCAGCCGCGGUAAUACGUAGGUGGCAAGCGUUAUCCGGAAUUAUUGGGCGUAAAGCGCGCGUAGGCGGUUUUUUAAGUCUGAUGUGAAAGCCCACGGCUCAACCGUGGAGGGGUCAUUGGAAACUGGAAAACUUGAGUGCAGAAGAGGAAAGUGGAAUUCCAUGUGUAGCGGUGAAAUGCGCAGAGAUAUGGAGGAACACCAGUGGCGAAGGCGACUUUCUGGUCUGNAACUGACGCUGAUGUGCGAAAGCGUGGGNUCAAACAGGAUUAGAUACCCUGGUAGUCCAC